GCGGCAGAGGCUGGUCGUCUGAGCUUAGGCCGGUCAGGAGAGCGUAAACUCCGGACUCCUUCAGACGGCUCAGCGAGGGGCCAAGAGUGCCAUCCAUCCAUCCAUCCUUCCUCCUGAUCAGAAGAUCCAGGGCGCCCGGCAUGGAAAUCCAAUAAAGGAGUUUUGUGUUAACAAUAGCAAAUUCCUCCAGCAUCUGAGUUUUCUAUGUGACCGCCUUGUGUGCCAACAUGAAAGACGACUUUGCAGAAGAGGAAGAGGUUCAGUCCUUUGGUUAUAAGAGGUUUGGAGUGUCCAAACUGUGUUUAAAAAGGACUGUUGCUCUUGUGUGAGAACCUAGUCCUAUGCUGCCCAGAAGAUUGAUUUUAAACCAGG
Non-coding RNA from Python bivittatus (Burmese python), 372 nucleotides. The record is from RefSeq and is a predicted model, not a curated record. Lineage: Eukaryota; Metazoa; Chordata; Lepidosauria; Squamata; Pythonidae.